UACGAAGGGGGCUAGCGUUGCUCGGAAUCACUGGGCGUAAAGGGUGCGUAGGCGGGUCUUUAAGUCAGGGGUGAAAUCCCGAGGCUCAACCUCGGAACUGCCUUUGAUACUGGGGAUCUCGAGUCCGGGAGAGGUGAGUGGAACUGCGAGUGUAAGAGGUGAAAUUCGUAGAUAUUCGCAAGAACACCAGUGGCGAAGGCGGCUCACUGGCCCGGAACUGACGCUGAGGUGCGAAAGCGUGGGGAGCAAACAGG
Molecule: ribosomal RNA, 254 nt
Filed under: uncultured bacterium
Lineage: Bacteria
Description: partial 16S ribosomal RNA
Rfam family: Bacterial small subunit ribosomal RNA
Source: RNAcentral